CCUACGGGGGGCUGCAGUGGGGAGUAUUGGACAAUGGGGGGAACCCUGAUCCAGCCAUGCCGCGUGUGUGAAGAAGGCCCUCGGGUUGUAAAGCACUUUCAGUGAGGAAGAACGCCUGGUGGUUAAUACCCAUCAGGAAAGACAUCACUCACAGAAGAAGCACCGGCUAACUCCGUGCCAGCAGCCGCGGUAAUACGGAGGGUGCGAGCGUUAAUCGGAAUUACUGGGCGUAAAGCGCGCGUAGGUGGCUUGAUAAGCCGGUUGUGAAAGCCCCGGGCUCAACCUGGGAACGGCAUCCGGAACUGUCAAGCUAGAGUGCAGGAGAGGAAGGUAGAAUUCCCGGUGUAGCGGUGAAAUGCGUAGAGAUCGGGAGGAAUACCAGUGGCGAAGGCGGCCUUCUGGACUGACACUGACACUGAGGUGCGAAAGCGUGGGUAGCAAACAGGAUUAGAUACCCCAGUAGUC
This 465-nucleotide ribosomal RNA is filed under the name Vreelandella stevensii. RNAcentral describes it as "partial 16S ribosomal RNA". It matches the Rfam family "Bacterial small subunit ribosomal RNA", at positions 338 to 795 of the family's 1533-position model. Lineage: Bacteria; Pseudomonadati; Pseudomonadota; Gammaproteobacteria; Oceanospirillales; Halomonadaceae. The record is from RNAcentral.